Molecule: long non-coding RNA, 728 nt
Filed under: Marmota monax (woodchuck)
Lineage: Eukaryota; Metazoa; Chordata; Mammalia; Rodentia; Sciuridae
Source: RNAcentral
AGGCCUAUUAAACAUCUUAAGUGGAGUUGCUGGUAAACACAUAUAUGAGUCCUAAGUCUGAAGUUCAGGAAUGAAGCCAGGAGCUGGAUAUGUAAAUUUGGGAAUCAUAAACUCAAAGAUGGAAUUUAAAAUUAUGAAACUGAAUGAGAUCCCAAGGGAUCUUCUCUACCUCUGUCAUUCCCUAGAGAAAAUGUCUGAGGCCUGGAGUGUUCCAUCACUUAGAAAUUAGGAAAAUGGAGAAAAAUUAGCAAAGGAGACUGUAGGAGUGACCAGGAAGGUAAGAGGACCAUGAAGGAAUUGUGUCUUGGCAGUCAAGUGACAAAAAGUGUUUUAGGAUAAAGAAAGUGAUCAACUGUGUUGGUAAAAUGAGGACAAAGAAAUGACCGUUGUAUUUGACCAUAGGCAAGUUACUAAUGACCUUAAAAAGAAUUAUUUUAAAGCCGGAUGCAGUGGCAAAUGCCUGUAAUCUCAGCUAUUCAGGAGGCAGGAGGAUAGGAUUGCAAGUUUGAGGCCAGCCUGGGCAAGUUAGCAAAACCCUGUCUCAAUAAAAAUAAACACAAAAACAAAGGAUGGUUUUGAUGGAUGGGGAUGAAAACCUGAUUGGAAUGGGUUCAAGGGAGAACAGAAGUAAAGACAGCAGAUACAAAUAACAAAAUAAAAUUCUUCCAAUGAAUUUUGUGUAUAGGAGCAGAGAAAUGGGGUAGUAGGCAGAAGUAGAUGUGAAAUCA